Molecule: long non-coding RNA, 279 nt
Filed under: Trifolium pratense (red clover)
Lineage: Eukaryota; Viridiplantae; Streptophyta; Magnoliopsida; Fabales; Fabaceae
Description: long non-coding RNA (TPRA_LNC008476)
Source: RNAcentral
GAGCCAUCAUAUCCUCACCAUCGCGUUUCCAAAAUCUCUUGGAACUUGAGUGCAUGAGUUGAGUUAAUUGAACGUAGGACCGAAGAACAUCAUGGAGAAUGGGUUGGGUUAAAAUUAAAUUUUGAGCCUUAUAUCCUUUUAUUCAAAAACCGUGAACCAGGCCACGUUACAACCCUCAAAAGACCUAAUUGAAGUAAGGUUUAUUUUGAAAGCACGCGGUAGCAAGGUUGCGUUAACCUGACUCCCAAGAUCUUUUGUAAAUCAUCAGUGUUGAUAUCA